RNAcentral lists this ribosomal RNA (1415 nucleotides) under Pantoea sp. Its description in RNAcentral is "bacterial SSU rRNA". It matches the Rfam family "Bacterial small subunit ribosomal RNA". The record is from RNAcentral. RNAcentral also lists the same sequence under 1 other name. Lineage: Bacteria; Pseudomonadati; Pseudomonadota; Gammaproteobacteria; Enterobacterales; Erwiniaceae.
UGCAGUCGACGGCAGCACAGAAGAGCUUGCUCUUUGGGUGGCGAGUGGCGGACGGGUGAGUAAUGUCUGGGAAACUGCCCGAUGGAGGGGGAUAACUACUGGAAACGGUAGCUAAUACCGCAUAACGUCGCGAGACCAAAGUGGGGGACCUUCGGGCCUCACACCAUCGGAUGUGCCCAGAUGGGAUUAGCUAGUAGGUGGGGUAAUGGCUCACCUAGGCGACGAUCCCUAGCUGGUCUGAGAGGAUGACCAGCCACACUGGAACUGAGACACGGUCCAGACUCCUACGGGAGGCAGCAGUGGGGAAUAUUGCACAAUGGGCGCAAGCCUGAUGCAGCCAUGCCGCGUGUAUGAAGAAGGCCUUCGGGUUGUAAAGUACUUUCAGCGGGGAGGAAGGCGGUGAGGUUAAUAACCUUGCCGAUUGACGUUACCCGCAGAAGAAGCACCGGCUAACUCCGUGCCAGCAGCCGCGGUAAUACGGAGGGUGCAAGCGUUAAUCGGAAUUACUGGGCGUAAAGCGCACGCAGGCGGUCUGUUAAGUCAGAUGUGAAAUCCCCGGGCUUAACCUGGGAACUGCAUUUGAAACUGGCAGGCUUGAGUCUCGUAGAGGGGGGUAGAAUUUCCAGGUGUAGCGGUGAAAUGCGUAGAGAUCUGGAGGAAUACCGGUGGCGAAGGCGGCCCCCUGGACGAAGACUGACGCUCAGGUGCGAAAGCGUGGGGAGCAAACAGGAUUAGAUACCCUGGUAGUCCACGCCGUAAACGAUGUCGACUUGGAGGUUGUGCCCUUGAGGCGUGGCUUCCGGAGCUAACGCGUUAAGUCGACCGCCUGGGGAGUACGGCCGCAAGGUUAAAACUCAAAUGAAUUGACGGGGGCCCGCACAAGCGGUGGAGCAUGUGGGUUUAAUUCGAUGCAACGCGAAGAACCUUACCUGGCCUUGACAUCCAGAGAACUUAGCAGAGAUGCUUUGGUGCCUUCGGGAACUCUGAGACAGGUGCUGCAUGGCUGUCGUCAGCUCGUGUUGUGAAAUGUUGGGUUAAGUCCCGCAACGAGCGCAACCCUUAUCCUUUGUUGCCAGCGAUUCGGUCGGGAACUCAAAGGAGACUGCCGGUGAUAAACCGGAGGAAGGUGGGGAUGACGUCAAGUCAUCAUGGCCCUUACGGCCAGGGCUACACACGUGCUACAAUGGCGCAUACAAAGAGAAGCGACCUCGCGAGAGCAAGCGGACCUCAUAAAGUGCGUCGUAGUCCGGAUUGGAGUCUGCAACUCGACUCCAUGAAGUCGGAAUCGCUAGUAAUCGUAGAUCAGAAUGCUACGGUGAAUACGUUCCCGGGCCUUGUACACACCGCCCGUCACACCAUGGGAGUGGGUUGCAAAAGAAGUAGGUAGCUUAACCUUCGGGAGGGCGCUACCACUU